Solanum lycopersicum (tomato) is the source of this 1061-nucleotide non-coding RNA. NCBI's taxonomy places the organism in Eukaryota, Viridiplantae, Streptophyta, Magnoliopsida, Solanales, Solanaceae. The record is from RefSeq and is a predicted model, not a curated record.
CCAACCAAACAUGAGAAAAUAAGUCCAAAAUAUACUUGUUUUCCAGGAAAACAUUUUCUAGGAAAACAUUUUCCAUGGAAAACAUUUUCCUUCAUACCAAACACACCCUUAAAUACUCCAUUUUUUCCAAUUGCUCCCGUGAAGGUAGACGCUUGGAAAUGUUCUUGAGAUUCUUUAUUGUUCCUUUUAAUGGGGAGGACUAGUGCGAGAAGGGAGCGAGACCAAGCCAAGCCAUUUGUAGAGUAAGCCCUUCCCACAUAUCAAGUUGAAUAUAAAUAAAUGAAUGCAGUCUCAACCACGUGCUUGAAAAUUCUGAUCAGUAAUGUCAUCAUGAAGGGGUGCCUUUGGACAAGGUUAAAGUUGUCUCCAACCUAUAGGUCACGCAUAUCAUCUACGGUACAAUCAUUGAUGCUUGUGGAUUGGCUGCCUACAUUACAUCCCUUGGGGUGCCUCCUGCCCUAAACCCUAAAUUUCUAUCAAUUUGACUUUAGAUCCCUUAGAGGACAGUUGGCACACUUCCAGAUUCUCUUCUUUAUUUUGGUAAGUCAGUUCAAUACCAUUCUUAUCCAGAUGCUUUCUCAAAACGUGUUAAAUUUCACCAUGGACGCUUAAGUAGAAACAAUUAAAAACAGAAGCCUUACCUUUCAAAGCAGUGUAAUAUUAAAAAGUUAGAACACAGUUAUUCAAUCUGGGUAAUAAAUUUAGCUGAAGGAACUGCUCCCGAAGAAAAUCACUUUACUGAUGCUGUAUAUGAUAUUACUGUACUUUUGAUCCUAUAGCUCUGAUAGUUAAUUUUACUAAAGCAACCUUAAAUUUUUAAAGCUGUCACCUUACCGUAGCAUCAGAUGUUGUAGACUAGCAUGGAGAACUAAGAGAAGAAAUUGGAAGGGCUAUUAUAUUGAGCAUCCAAAAGAGGGCUUCUAUAUUGUGGUUAUCGGAGAUACUUGAAGACAAUAGCUGGAAGAUGUGAACAAUCUUAGAGAUUUCACACCAAGCUCGUAUAUUGUUGAGGCAGGUUGCUUGGGCAUAAUAUAAAGUUGAAUGAAGAAAGAACCAUGUGU